UCGUCGGCGAUCCGUGGCCUGGCCGAGGCCGAGGGUCCCACCCUCCGGGGGAAGGAAGCACCGCCUCCCCGCGCGCCGGGGGCCUCCGCGAAGUGACUGGUAGUAACAAAGCCCAGGGCCCGGCUGCCCGCUCUUUGAAUGACAAAAUCAUCCUUGUUCCGCCGGCUUUUUUACACACAGCACGUUUACAUCUGAGACACAGGUUAAUUAUCCUCGUGUCUUCCUGAUCCCGAGCUGACAAAGCGGAAGCUCCUCCGGCUAGAGUGGUGGCAGGCCUGGGUUCAAAUUUUGAUCCUGCCAUUUACUUAGAAUGUCCUAGUGUGAAUUCAGCUGACACUUUCAAAAUGACCAGGAGUUAGAAAUUCACCAACUAUCGACAGAAAUCAGUUCCAACUGACUCAACCCAUGCCCCACUGCUACUACACGUCUUGCAGACACCUAACCACUUUAGCAAUUACGGGUAGGUGGAGGAAAGAGGGUUUGGAUCUACACUAACUAGUGAUCUUCUUUCAACCAAACAAAUUCUGCAGAAUGCCAAUUAUACUUCAGCCACAGAACACCUAAAGACGAAGAAAGCUAUUGUCAUCAUCUACCCAGUAAACUCAGACUUAAAAUUCUCAGUGAUCGUGAUUAAAGAGAUGUUGUUAUAUACCAAAUGCUUGCCUGGAAUACGGAAUAACUAGCUCUGCCUUUUGUAGGUAGGCCUCAGGAAGUUUUACCUCUUUAUUCUCAAAGGAGGAAGGUUUGUAUUAUUCUGUCCAUAUUGUUUAAGAGCUGUGUAUGUUUAUCAUCUUACCUGCAUUACAUGUUACAACAGGUCCCUUUAGGCAAUAUGGUUUCAGACUUUUCAGUGACAGUAUCCUUAUUCAGCACAAAUAGAACACAUUCUUUACAUUUUAUUUUUCUCUAUCUCUUCCUUUCUCAAAAAUAAGAUAAAGUGUUUUUAAACCAGUAGUACUCUAUAAAAUGCAUUGUUCCCUCCUUAUAAAAAACAAUUUUUAAACAGAGUAGCAGUCAUUGUUCUGUGUACCUUUACCCCAAGUUCUCUUAAAAUGUAGCCUGUAGAUGCCAGAAGCUGUCUGUUGUCUAGUGAUCAGAGCAUAACACAAGGUAUAAAUUGUUAACCUGCUUUGCCACUGAAGUCUGUAAAACAGAGGGAAUUGUGCAUGUAAUUUUUGAGAAAGUGUUGUCCAACUAUGUGGCUACAAAUGCCUGAAGUUUUCAGAAUAAAUCCUCUUCCAAAGGAUAGUGGAAACUUUUAUUAGUAACCAAGGAGCCUUGGAAAUUGAUGCAGUUGGCUCUUGAAUCACAAACAAACGUAACAAAUAUCAUGGGGAAAAUAUUGUUGAUGAACAAACAAAAAACCAACCUGGCUUGCUUGAUGCUAUCCCAUUUAUUACUUUUGUAUUGGUAAUUGAACCAUUUACAUUUUUCUUUAGAAUAAUUCUUGAAGCAGAAUGGGUAUAAAAAGCAGACCUACUAGUUGUUGCUUGGAAUAAUAAAAUAUGAAUCAUAUGAAAAAUGGAAAAAUACCUAUAUGAUAAAAUGCUUUUAAAACAAGUUUUUAACAUUCAUUUUUAUUCGUCUUUGUGUUUUUCUCCAGGUUGACACCAUUCUCAGGUAAAAAGAGCAAAUAUUUUCCUUUUUUAAAAAUUAAUUGCCAAUCUCUUAACUAAAGUCUCCUAUACAUAUUUUGGUAAAUCAUAUAAAGGUAAAUAUUUGUGUGAAAUUUUUAUCUUCCCUUUCUGUGCCUCUUCUAGUCCCUGUUAAAGUUCCAUGUCAAGGUGACAUUCCAAAAUGUGAAAUCUUAGCCUUUCCAAGAUCUCCCACAGUUUGGUUUUGGUUUUCAGACAUAGGAUCUCUUUUUAUUCACAUCAGCUAAAGAUCCAUUUUCUCACACCAUCCUAAAAAUGAAAGAAGGGAAAUAGAGGGAAAAUAGCCACAGAACUGAGCCCCAUUCAGGCUGUUCUUUCUCCAUUUACAGGAGUUGAAGGCUGCCUGUGGAAAGCGACAGAACAUAACCUCUGUCCCCAGAUCAGCCACCGCCGCGGUUUCUUGACAUAGGCUGGUUCUGAACUGAAUAGUGUCCUGUUAUAACCACUACUGUAAGCUGAGUAUAAAGGAAAAUAAAUCCUCUGUUUCUUAUCCACCAUGAAAGCAUUAGUUGCAGUCACAUUCAAAGUAAUGUGGAGAGCCUACCCGCGAGUGUGUGUGCUGAAGAAAUGCUUAUAAUUCUGAAUCUGGAUGGAUGAGUCAAGUUGAACCAGGAAAAAGCUAUAAGCAAACCACAUAUUGAAACCCAGAUAAGUUCAGUGAUUAAACUAUACCUUGAUGAUAAGGUCCCUCCACAGCAAGGCUGUCUAUGGUUCUAUGUUUCAGAAGUUGCUCCUAUUCUAAUUUCACUUCUGUGUAACUCUGUAACCAAACUGCGUGUGUUCCUGGUUCUUGAUUCCUUUGGUAAGAAAAGCAUUAGCACAAGUGAUGCAAUAAAAUUCAUACACAAGAUAGCUAAUACAUUUGUUAACUUUUUAUUUUGAAAUAAUUGCAGAUUUACAGCAAGUUGCAAGAAAAAAAUACAGGGAGGUUCUGUGUACCCUUCACCCAGUUUCACCCACUGGCAAUAUAAGUACAUUUUGAGACAUUUUUUAAAUGCAUGUGCCAGGCAUUUAUGCUAAGUGCCUUUAUGUACUUCCUGAUAUAACCCUUAAAACUACCCUGUGAAGUAGGUAUUGAUCUUUCAAUAUCUGCUUUUAAAAAUACAGGAAACUGAAGCUCAAAGAGGUUAAGUACUUUGACAAAAGUCA
Molecule: non-coding RNA, 2804 nt
Organism: Manis javanica (Malayan pangolin)
Lineage: Eukaryota; Metazoa; Chordata; Mammalia; Pholidota; Manidae
Source: RefSeq, a predicted model, not a curated record